GAUAACCAGUCGAAAGAUUGGCUAAUACCAAAUAAGCCCACAGGGACUUCGGUCCUCGAGGGAAAAGGNGGCCUCUGUAUNCAAGCUAUCNCUACUAGAUGAGCCCGCGGCCCAUCAGCUAGUUGGCGGGGUAACGGCCCACCAAGGCAACGACGGGUAGCUGGUCUGAGAGGACGAUCAGCCACACUGGAACUGAGACACGGUCCAGACUCCUACGGGAGGCAGCAGUGGGGAAUUUUGCGCAAUGGGCGAAAGCCUGACGCAGCAACGCCGCGUGUGUGAUGAAGGUCUUCGGAUUGUAAAGCACUUUCGACCGGGACGAAAACCCCCAACCUAACACGCUGGGGCUUGACGGUACCGGGAGAAGAAGCACCGGCUAACUCUGUGCCAGCAGCCGCGGUAAUACAGAGGGUGCAAGCGUUGUUCGGAAUUAUUGGGCGUAAAGCGCGUGUAGGCGGCUUUGCAAGUCGGGUGUGAAAGCCCUCAGCUCAACUGAGGAAGUGCGCCCGAAACUGCAGAGCUUGAGUGCCGGAGAGGGUAGCGGAAUUCCCCAAGUAGAGGUGAAAUUCGUAGAUAUGGGGAGGAACACCGGUGGCGAAGGCGGCUACCUGGACGGUGACUGACGCUGAAACCCGAAAGCGUGGGUAGCAAACAGGAUUAGAUCCCUGGUUAGUCCACGCCGUAAACGAUGAGAACUAGGUGUCGUGGGAGUUGACCCCCG
RNAcentral lists this ribosomal RNA (721 nucleotides) under Allostigmatella aurantiaca. RNAcentral describes it as "bacterial SSU rRNA". It matches the Rfam family "Bacterial small subunit ribosomal RNA", at positions 142 to 840 of the family's 1533-position model. Lineage: Bacteria; Pseudomonadati; Myxococcota; Myxococcia; Myxococcales; Archangiaceae. The record is from RNAcentral.